Molecule: ribosomal RNA, 457 nt
Filed under: uncultured bacterium
Lineage: Bacteria
Description: bacterial SSU rRNA
Rfam family: Bacterial small subunit ribosomal RNA
Source: RNAcentral
GCACAAGCGGUGGAGCAUGUGGAUUAAUUCGAUGCAACGCGAAGAACCUUACCUGGGUUUGACAUGCACAGGACGUGCCUAGAGAUAGGUAUUCCCUUGUGGCCUGUGUGCAGGUGGUGCAUGGCUGUCGUCAGCUCGUGUCGUGAGAUGUUGGGUUAAGUCCCGCAACGAGCGCAACCCUUGUCUCAUGUUGCCAGCGCGUUAUGGCGGGGACUCGUGAGAGACUGCCGGGGUCAACUCGGAGGAAGGUGGGGAUGACGUCAAGUCAUCAUGCCCCUUAUGUCCAGGGCUUCACACAUGCUACAAUGGCCGGUACAAAGGGCUGCGAUGCCGUGAGGUGGAGCGAAUCCUUUCAAAGCCGGUCUCAGUUCGGAUCGGGGUCUGCAACUCGACCCCGUGAAGUCGGAGUCGCUAGUAAUCGCAGAUCAGCAACGCUGCGGUGAAUACGUUCCCGGGC